Molecule: ribosomal RNA, 301 nt
Filed under: uncultured bacterium
Lineage: Bacteria
Description: partial 16S ribosomal RNA
Rfam family: Bacterial small subunit ribosomal RNA
Source: RNAcentral
CAGUCGCCGCGGUAAUACGUAGGGUGCGAGCGUUAAUCGGAAUUACUGGGCGUAAAGCGUGCGCAGGCGGUUCGUUAAGUCUGUUGUGAAAGCCCCGGGCUCAACCUGGGAAUGGCAAUGGAUACUGGCGAGCUAGAGUGUGUCAGAGGAUGGUGGAAUUCCCGGUGUAGCGGUGAAAUGCGUAGAGAUCGGGAGGAACAUCAGUGGCGAAGGCGGCCAUCUGGGACAACACUGACGCUGAGGCACGAAAGCGUGGGGAGCAAACAGGAUUAGAUACCCGCGUAGUCCCUGUCUCUUAUAC